GAUGAACGCUGGCGGCGUGCCUAAUACAUGCAAGUCGAGCGAACAGACGAGGAGCUUGCUCCUCUGACGUUAGCGGCGGACGGGUGAGUAACACGUGGAUAACCUACCUAUAAGACUGGGAUAACUUCGGGAAACCGGAGCUAAUACCGGAUAAUAUAUUGAACCGCAUGGUUCAAUAGUGAAAGACGGUUUUGCUGUCACUUAUAGAUGGAUCCGCGCCGCAUUAGCUAGUUGGUAAGGUAACGGCUUACCAAGGCAACGAUGCGUAGCCGACCUGAGAGGGUGAUCGGCCACACUGGGACUGAGACACGGUCCAGACUCCUACGGGAGGCAGCAGUAGGGAAUCUUCCGCAAUGGGCGAAAGCCUGACGGAGCAACGCCGCGUGAGUGAUGAAGGUCUUCGGGUCGUAAAACUCUGUUAUUAGGGAAGAACAAAUGUGUAAGUAACUAUGCACGUCUUGACGGUACCUAAUCAGAAAGCCACGGCUAACUACGUG
RNAcentral lists this ribosomal RNA (497 nucleotides) under uncultured bacterium. Its description in RNAcentral is "partial 16S ribosomal RNA". It matches the Rfam family "Bacterial small subunit ribosomal RNA", at positions 28 to 507 of the family's 1533-position model. The record is from RNAcentral.